This is an RNA transcript of Melopsittacus undulatus (budgerigar), 4769 nucleotides long. It is a transcript of the gene named zinc finger FYVE domain-containing protein 16-like, with no coding region annotated. The transcript is spliced from 8 exons. The record is from RefSeq and is a predicted model, not a curated record. Lineage: Eukaryota; Metazoa; Chordata; Aves; Psittaciformes; Psittaculidae.
CUUCCGGCUGCUGGCCUCGUGGCGGCGGGUGGCAUGACUUCACAGAAUUUGAUGACAAGUUUCACUCUGACAUACUGCAAGGAUGAAGCGUACAAAGGAAAAUUGAGGUUUGUCAGUCAGGCUUUUCCUUCAGAGAAAAAAAGAUUCCAAAGCUUUUCAGGAUUAUCUGAAUGAUUCACAGUGUUAUAACAGCAUUAUUAGCUCACAGCACUCUUAUGUGUGGAGCGGAAGGAUAUCUGGUUUACAGGGAUACCCGUUUAAGGCCUAUUCAGCACAAGAGACACAUUCAAGAGCACCCUCACUCUGACUGACAAGAGCCAUAGUAGGUCUAUUCACUUCACAUGGCAGAUGACCUGGACCAAGCCCAUCCACUCCCUGCAUCUUCUGCAUCUUCCUCGUGUAGAUUGAACGCAUUUGAGCCCAGACCUCAUCGUGGACAGAGGCUGAGAAACUAAAAUGUCCAGUUUAUUUCCAGUAUUUCUACUUCUAGUGUGUUCUAUGUUUAGUGGGAUGGAAAUGAGUCAUAUUUUGCUUGAAGUUCAAACAGGAGAAUUUUAUACAUUGCCUAAUGCCAAAUUGGCCAGUAAACCAUGUUAAUUAGGAUUGUUAGGGAAAUUUUAUUUUAUUGAUUAAAAGUCCCACAGCUGCAAGAAACGUAACCAGUGAUUGAUCGUAUAUUUCACCUAGUUUCCCAUUCAGAAUUAAAAAGAAGGUGAUGGUUUGGAUUGCUAAUGGGACAUAGGUCUUUACUUCAAAUGACCUCCUUUAUGCUACAGCUGGCUAGUUUUUUUUUUGGCAGAGUGAAAUGACAGGUCCAAACCAUGGCUAGUUUAGGGCUUCUUCUAAUGCAAUUCUCCAGCAGCAUAAAACGAUCUGAAUUCCCUUUGUGUUUCUGCUCCAUCUUUAGGGACUCUUGUGUCUCAUGAAAUUUAGGGGAUGUACCAGGACAAACUAAGCUGAACAUUGCUGAAAGCAGAAGCCGAAGAUUCAGCCGGGACAGCUACUUAUAGGCUAUUUUGUCGGAGGAACCCAGAAUCAAGAGGACGACUCAAUAUGAGUUACACGUCUUGUUCCCCUUUAUUGAUCACAAUCGUCUAUAUUUAUACAGUUAUUGAUAGCUCACGUGCUACUAAACACUCUUCCAUUGGCUACAUUAGUCUGUCCACAUGCCUAUCUAUACAUAGCUAUUGGCUGAGCUAGAAUUUCCAUGUUAGUCUCUGCGUCUGCUUACAAUGGCUCAGUGUAUUAUACUUUGAUACGUACACAGUAACUGGCUGUAUUAAGAGCUGGCUGUAUUAGUGGAUACAUGUACAGUGUAGCACACAGCAACUAAGAUACAAUUUGGUUACAUUAAGUGUAUGAGAUUCUGGUCUCCAAAACUUGCUAACAGUUCACUAUUGUGUCUUAACACAUCCCAGUUUCUUCUCAUCUUGCUUGCACUGCUACUUUUGCUUCUUUACCCACAGCUUUGUUCAUCCUUGGUUCGUGUCAAGCUCCGUGUAGGCACUUGCUGACUUAGGAUUGUGGCCUGCACUCUCCAUAAACGCCAUUUUCUGAUGCUAAGACAUUGGGAUUGGGCACAAGAUGCCCACUGCUUUGCAGCCAGUCCACAACAGUUCACUGUCACUCAGUUUCAAGCCUGGGUUGUGCAAGUCAAAAUCAGGGAUUAUUCAGCCCUUCAUAAUUCGCAUGCCCACACUCCAUCAGCCAUUGUUCCACACUACUUGAGUUUACCAGUCCUGUGAAAUAGACUAACUCGUGAAGAAUGGGACCUUGGCCACUGCUGUGCACGGGUACUUUUUUAACCUCCACAUGGAAUUUUUUGUAGCUCUCCAAACACGCAACAGCAAACAGAGUGGUCCUGCCUUUUCAGCUAACAUUGCUAUUUUUUUAUCUGCUAACUAAAUAUUGAUUUAUUCCUGGUAAUUUCUGUAAGAUAUUACGCACUGUAGUGAUGUUAAAGGAAGGCAUACUCUUGCUCCUUUAAGGUCUAGGGGUGUGAAUAGACAGAGGAGAGAGGUUCACAGAGAGAGCAGAGAAAGAAUGGGGCAGCAGGAGUAAAGACGUCACCAUAUGCAUUAAUUAGAAACGACUGGACACACAGGAAUUGGCAGAAGAGGUUGGGGCAGUCUAGCAGACGCUUUCAAUACCUUAACGGUGUGGUGUGAGAUCACUCACAUAUGUACUUUGAUAGAAGUCUGAUAGAGGGCUACAAAUAGCCCCAGAAAAUGGCUUGAUUCCAAGAUCCUUGUACAAAAAAAGGAGUGUGAAAAUGAAUGAAUUGCACCAUAGAAAUACAUUUGCAGUACUGAAAUGCCGAUCCAAAUGCUGGCACAUUAGUGAUGACAGUGUUCAGUAGCUGAGUGGAGAAACAAUGAUACUAAACAUUCCUGGAGGGGUACCUGGUUUCCUGUUGUUUGUCUUGCAUUUGACUGUCAUAUGCAAAAAUUACCAGUCUGCAGCGUUCUGAUAGGAAUUUUGUGUUGCCAAACAAACACAUUAAUGAUGCAUCUUCGCCUUAGGUAGCUCCUAAAGAUGGGAAAAAAGACAAAAGGAAGAUCCAGGAGAGAUUUGGUGGGUUGCUUAUUGUUUAGAGGAGAUGCAUUCUCAGAAUUUGUGAGAAGAUAUAUAUGAACUUCUGGUUUUCCUUCUUAGAAUGCUAGUAAUGAAAGUUUAGCUUCUUCUGCGACAUGAGUGUAUAUAUUUUUAUUUACUGAUUUAUUCUUCACAGGCUGCAAACCCAGAGCAAUAUGACAUAUUGCCUGAUGUAUGUCCAAAACAGAAGGAAGACAGUGAUGAUAUUGCAAAAAUGGAGGAAUUAUGUCCUUCUGUUUCUUCAGAUGAUGCACAGCAGGCUGUUCCAGGUCAGAGUGAGGUGGUACAUAGUUAUACAUCUGUAAUUCUAGAAACUGAAGAGUGUUCUCCGGCUGCAGAAGCUGAGAAGACUAGUUCCAGUUCAGCUGAUCAGACUACUCGUGAUGUGCCUGUUAGUCCUUCAAGUUACAGGGCACUGUGUGGUGUUGAGAACUGUGCUCACAAAGAUCAGCCUUGUUCCCGAUGAUGAUAAACUGCCACCACUUCUGCUUGCAGUGGGUGAAAAAGGAAAAGAAACUUAUUGAUCAGAUUCUACCAGAUCACCCUUUUCUUUUCGGUGUUCUCGUCCAUAAGGUGGAAAUACCCUGGGCAAAAGUUUUUCCUAUCUGUUUAAUGUUGAGACUGGGAGCAGAAUAUGGGGGUUCCUUCUCCAUGCGUUUCACACUGCAGCCAUGGGACUUCAAAGCAUGUUACUUUCAUACCCCACUCCUGUAGUAAGUUUCAGGCACCGGAAGCCACUCUUUGGUGAGAUUGGACCCACAAUUAUGAAUCUGCUUGUUGUUGAGUACUUAGCUGGAUCUGGAGCUCACCUUUUUCCACAGAAGUAUCUGAAUGAAUUGGACAACGGUCUGAUCCCUGUGAUUCAUGCUGGAAUGUCAGAUCCUACAAGUCUACCAUUGAAAAUGGAGUUAAUAUUUUUCAUUAUUGAGCAUCUGGUUUGAUUAGGUCGAUUACAAGCAAUACUCUGAUUUGCUAGAUCUGAACACCAAAGCUACAAUGCUACAAACUAAAAAUCUUAACGUUUUAAACCUGUUAUGUCUUAAUAGAUUUUCAAAUUGUUUUUUAAACCCUCAAAUCCUCUCUGGUUACUUUACCACAAAAGACAACUUGUUUGUAAUGUUUCCUUAGGUUCUGAAAGUUUACACUUAAUACAUGUGCAAAAGAGGGCAGGUUUUAUUACCUUUUUACACAGCUGUAGCAUUUACUGUGUGUAGUGUAACUUUAAGCUAUACUGUCUUGCCCCUUAAGCUCAGAUAAAUGCAUUACAGAAAAUUGCUGUGGCUACACCUUAUCUCUGCAGCAUCUGCUUUUCCAUGUGCAAGUGAGCUAAAACACUGAAGUAAAAGCUGGCACAAAACUCUUUUCUUGUCAUUUGAGAUUUGAAUGUGAGAUGCUCUGUAGCUGACUGCAGAUGUCAUAUGUGGGCACCUUCUGACAGUGGUUUGUGGCCUGCAUGAGGAGGAAUUUCACAGAUAUGUUUAUGAAGACUUUGUAGUUGAAGUCCUUCAUGUCAGGAUGCUAUGCUGGUGCUUUAGGAACAUAGGCUCUGAAUUAAUUUUUUUUUUUUUAUAGAUCAGCUGAUUUCUUUCUAUCAUUUAUAAGGAUUUGCCUAACUCAAAUGGAUGCAAUUUUUAUAAAUACUACUUUUUUCUUUACUCUGUGUUCGGGGCUCCUGAAAAUUUGACCUUUCGAGGAUUACUAAAAAAACCAGAUUACCCUUGAGUAAUCUAUAUGUAGCAAUAAAUCAGACAAGAAUUCUGCAGUGUGUUUUCUGCUCGAUCUACUGCAUUGCCACUUCUUAAUAGCCAUCUUUACUUUCAGGGAAAAUAGAAUUAUUAAGUGUGGAUUUUCAUUAACAGAUUGAUUUUUAGUAUACCUGAGGUUCUUGCAUAGGAUGUAUUUUUGAUACUGGGUCAUUAAGAUCUAUUUAUAUAGUUGUGAUAUAUAUGUGACUUGUACUGAGGUUCAGACAACUGUAGUGGGGUUUGGUAACUGUCACACAGCUGUUCAUUAGGAACAGAACCAAAAUUAAAUACAAACAAGAUCUAUAUUGUUUUCAGUAAAAAUUCUGGUACAGUUUUCUAAGGAGAGUAUUGAAUCUUUGAUGCCUUGUUGAUGCUAAUAAGGGGAUAUUUUAUGUUUUUGUAUCAAAAACAAUUUAUAACUUAACCUAA